This is an unclassified non-coding RNA of Panthera pardus (leopard), 346 nucleotides long. Its record names the gene 7SK. It matches the Rfam family "7SK RNA". Rfam says of the family: 7SK was discovered as an abundant small nuclear RNA in the mid-70s but a possible function has only recently been suggested. The record is from Ensembl. NCBI's taxonomy places the organism in Eukaryota, Metazoa, Chordata, Mammalia, Carnivora, Felidae.
GGAUGUGAGAGGGAUCUGGCCGUGACAUCUGUCACUUCAUUGAUGGCCAGGGUGCAUUUGGCUGAUCUGGUUGGUUGGGUGAGUGCUGCCUUCUUCCCCCAUCGCUCCACGUGCGCCCCUCCUGCAGCUGCAGGUCUGGAUCCAUUAGGUGAAAGAGGACAAUGACAUUGACAGAGGAAGACUGGUCUUUGGUCAAGGUCAAGGGUAUAUGAGUAACUGAGCCACCCUGCUGGAGCCUCCAAGCAAGCUCUCAUGGCCCAUUUGUAAAAGAACAUCAGGUAUUCAAAUUUCCAAGACUCCAGACACAUCCAAAGGAGUUACUGCAUGUAGCAGUCUGCCUUUCUUU